GCCCGCUUAGCUCAGUGGUAGAGCGCAUCACUUGUAUCAUCGAUGAUGAGGUCGGUUGUUCAAUCCAGCCAGUGGGCA
Pisolithus tinctorius is the source of this 78-nucleotide non-coding RNA. The record is from the annotation of a GenBank genome assembly. NCBI's taxonomy places the organism in Eukaryota, Fungi, Basidiomycota, Agaricomycetes, Boletales, Pisolithaceae.